GAGCUUGCUAUGAUGACAAUAUCUUUCCCCGUCUUAUCGACAAAUGCUGAUUUGGUCUUUAUUUCAAGCCAAUUUGUCUGAUGCAAGCUC
This is a small nucleolar RNA of Mya arenaria, 90 nucleotides long. RefSeq annotates it as small nucleolar SNORD12/SNORD106. The record is from RefSeq and is a predicted model, not a curated record. The transcript has a single exon. Lineage: Eukaryota; Metazoa; Mollusca; Bivalvia; Myida; Myidae.